Ananas comosus (pineapple) is the source of this 398-nucleotide long non-coding RNA. RefSeq lists it as uncharacterized. The transcript has 2 exons. NCBI's taxonomy places the organism in Eukaryota, Viridiplantae, Streptophyta, Magnoliopsida, Poales, Bromeliaceae. The record is from RefSeq and is a predicted model, not a curated record.
CUGAUGUACGCCGUUCGUUGGGAAGUCGCGGAUCGAGCUCGUUCGGAUUUGUCGUUUCUCAGGAGGACCGUUCGUGCGCGUGGGUAUCUCGGUUGAGCCGUUGGAGGUCGAGCGAGCGUGCGGGUUUCCUCCUGUCAACUUCUUGCCGACGUUGAACGAGCGCUUGAGAGCUUUCGUCUUCGGCUACUGCUGUUGUGGAUUCUGACCGAUGCAAGGGAGUCGCGAGCUAGAGUCGUCCCUUCCUUGGUCGUUUGCUAGAGGAGCACCCGUCAGAGGUAGUUUUGGGUUUCAUGUACAUACUGUUUUGUUGUUGUGGUACUUGCUGGAGCGAGGGGUGUUGUAGCCUGUGUAUGUACAGUGAACCCAUUUUGUUUUAUAUAUACAUGUGUUUGUUUUUA